Molecule: ribosomal RNA, 254 nt
Filed under: uncultured bacterium
Lineage: Bacteria
Description: partial 16S ribosomal RNA
Rfam family: Bacterial small subunit ribosomal RNA
Source: RNAcentral
UACGAAGGGUGCUAGCGUUGUUCGGAAUCACUGGGCGUAAAGCGCACGUAGGCGGUCCGCACCAGUCAGGCGUGAAAGCCCCAGGCUCAACCUGGGAAUAGCGCUUGAUACUAGCGGGCUAGAGGCCGGGAGAGGGUAGUGGAAUUCCCAGUGUAGAGGUGAAAUUCGUAGAUAUUGGGAAGAACACCAGUGGCGAAGGCGGCUACCUGGACCGGUUCUGACGCUGAGGUGCGAAAGCGUGGGGAGCAAACAGG